AGUCUGCUGUUAAAGAGCNAGGCUUAACUUCCUAAAAGCAGUGGAAACUGAAGAGCUAGAGUGUAGUAGGGGCAGAGGGAAUUCCUGGUGUAGCCGUGAAAUGGGNGGAGAUGAGGAAGAACACCCGUGGCCAAAGCGCUCUGCUGGGCUAAAACUGACACUGAGGGACGAAAGCUAGGGGAGCGAAUGGGAUUAGAUACCCCCAGUAGUCCUAGCCGGUAAACGAUGGAAACUAGGUGUGGCCUGUAUCGACCCCGGGNCCGUGCCCGGAGCCAAACGCGUUAAGUUUCCCCGCCUGGGGAGUACGCACGCAAGUGUGAAACUCAAAGGAAUUGACGGGGGCCCCNCACAAGCGGUGGAGUAUGUGGUUUAAUUCGAUGCAACGCGAAGAACCUUACCAGGACUUGACAUCUCGGGAAUCUCCUUGAAAGGGGAGAGUGCCGAAAGGAACCCGAAGACAGGUGCUGCAUGGCUGUCGUCAGCUCGUGUCGUGAGAUGUUGGGUUAAGUCCCCGCAACGAGCGCAACCCUCNUCGUUAGUUGCCUCAUUAAGUUGGGAACUCUAGCGAGACUGCCNGGUGACAACCGAGGAAGGUGAGGAUGACGUCAGUCAGCAUGGCCCUUACUCCUGGGCGACACCGUACUACAUGCNAAGGACAAGAGCANCCACCCCCCAGGAGAGCAAUCUCAAAACU
RNAcentral lists this ribosomal RNA (694 nucleotides) under uncultured Pseudomonadota bacterium. RNAcentral's name for it is "bacterial SSU rRNA". It matches the Rfam family "Bacterial small subunit ribosomal RNA", at positions 586 to 1282 of the family's 1533-position model. Lineage: Bacteria; Pseudomonadati; Pseudomonadota. The record is from RNAcentral.